CGGAGGGGAUGGGCACCCCGAAAUCACUGAGAGGGGCUGGGUACCCCGAAAUCGGAGGGGUUGGGCACCCCGAAAUCACUGAGAGGGGCUGGGUACCCCGAAAUCACUGAGAGGGGUUGGGCACCCCGAAAUCACUGAUAGGGGUUGGGCACCCCGAAAUCACUGAGAGGGGUUGGGGUACCCCGAAAUCGGAGGGGGAUUGGGGUAGGACACCCCAAAAUGACUGAUAGGGGUUGGAUGGGGCACCCCAAAAUCACUGAGAGGGGUUGGGGUACCCCGAAAUUGGAGAGGGGUUGGGCACCCCGAAAUCACUGAUAGGGGUUGGAUGGGACACCCCAAAAUCACUGAGAAGAGCUGGAUGGGGGUACCCCAAAAUCACUGAGAGGGGUUGGGGUACCCUGAAAUCACUGAGAGGGGUUGGGGUGAGAUGGGGACACCCCAAAAUCACUGAGAGGGGUUGUAAUGGGUGGGAGAACCCUCAGGGCACCCCAAAUUCACUGAGGGGGGUUGGGGUGGGAUAGGGACACCCCAAAUUCACUGACAGGAGUGAGGACCCCCGAAAUCACUGAGAGGGGCUGGGGGUACCCCGAAAUCACUGAGAAUGGUUGGGGUGGGUGGGGGCACCCUCAGGACACCCCAAAAUCACUGAGAGGGGUUGGGAUGGGGCAGGUUUGGGGUUUGGGGACCCCCCCAGACACCCCAAUAUCACAGAAGGCUCAGAAUGGGGGAAAUUUGGGGUUUGCAGACCCCCAAAAUCAGAAAGAGGGGUUGGGAUGGGGCAGGUUUGGGUUUAGGGUCAGGAUCAGGAGGACAAGGAGACCCCAAAUUGGGGGGUCCCAGGGUGGUUCACCCCAAAUUUUGGGUUCAUUUUUCCCAGGAAUGGGGCAAGGAGCAGGA
Oenanthe melanoleuca is the source of this 897-nucleotide long non-coding RNA. RefSeq lists it as uncharacterized. The transcript has 2 exons. The record is from RefSeq and is a predicted model, not a curated record. Lineage: Eukaryota; Metazoa; Chordata; Aves; Passeriformes; Muscicapidae.